AAACCAUGGUAUGGACACUGUAUUAAAAAAUUAUUGAAUCGUUCCCAAGCUUCUGAAAAUGACUCAUCUACCUGUUGACUGAAUUGCAUGAUUUUAUCCCUUAGUGC
This is a small nucleolar RNA of Prunus dulcis (almond), 107 nucleotides long. The record is from RefSeq and is a predicted model, not a curated record. Lineage: Eukaryota; Viridiplantae; Streptophyta; Magnoliopsida; Rosales; Rosaceae.